This 371-nucleotide long non-coding RNA is filed under the name Ananas comosus (pineapple). Its description in RNAcentral is "long non-coding RNA (ACOM_LNC011683)". The record is from RNAcentral. Lineage: Eukaryota; Viridiplantae; Streptophyta; Magnoliopsida; Poales; Bromeliaceae.
AAACUCACGUGCUCUGGCACAAUCUGAUGCAAAUACCGAAAUCUGGGUCCACCGUCCACUGCGAAGGCACCCGACAGUCCGGAACAGUCUACACACUACUGUAAAAAUAAACUCGGCAUCCCAGCACGAGCGUAAACUCAUCCUACACUAAUCUGGAUAUCCACCGCAUACAAACUGCGGCGAUACAAACAAACCACAGCUCCUGAAGCUAAAUCUGAUAUUUUUCAGAAAAUGACAGUGUAGGAUCUAUAGUUUUCUCCUAAGUCAAUUCCAAGUCCAACAUGUAAAAUUAAAUUACUAGUUUAACUCCAAAUUCAGAUUUAAACACUAAUCCAUUAAUUCGAGUACUAGCCAGAAAAUAAACGCAUGAU